UACGAAGGGGGCUAGCGUUGUUCGGAAUUACUGGGCGUAAAGCGCACGUAGGCGGAUAUUUAAGUUAGGGGUGAAAUCCCAGGGCUCAACCCUGGAACUGCCUUUAAUACUGGGUAUCUCGAGUCCGAGAGAGGUGAGUGGAAUUCCGAGUGUAGAGGUGAAAUCGUAGAUAUUCGGAGGAACACCAGUGGCGAAGGCGGCUCACUGGCUCGGUACUGACGCUGAGGUGCGAAAGCGUGGGGAGCAAACAGG
RNAcentral lists this ribosomal RNA (252 nucleotides) under uncultured bacterium. RNAcentral's name for it is "partial 16S ribosomal RNA". It matches the Rfam family "Bacterial small subunit ribosomal RNA", at positions 524 to 776 of the family's 1533-position model. The record is from RNAcentral.